Molecule: long non-coding RNA, 786 nt
Filed under: Numida meleagris (helmeted guineafowl)
Lineage: Eukaryota; Metazoa; Chordata; Aves; Galliformes; Numididae
Description: lncRNA (ENSNMEG00000009656.1)
Source: RNAcentral
UUUUUUCUGCAUCUGCAGGAGUUUAGUAUAAAGAGGACAUAAAAAACAGCGAGGAUAUGUCUUGAUAUGUCCUGAGUGAGGGCCUUGCUGGUAUAAAUAAAAAGAGUUAACUGAAAAUGGUGGAGUCAUCCACCAGUUGAAGAUCCUGUCUGUUUUAUUUAAUCUUCAGCUCAGACCAUUGGGAUCAUGAUUUUGUUUACCUGUGUUUAAUAGGCUAAUUUCCACUGCAAUUUAAAUUUGUUUGAAUGAAUGUUGAGGAAGGACAUCAAGAUCUGAGCUUUUGCUGACCUAAUGUAUUAGAUGAACUCACUUCAGGAUAUGGUUCCUUUCUGCGCGUCAGUAUAAUUUAAUUAAGUGGAUCAAUCUAGAAUAUUGAAUGUAUUUCUUUCAGAGUAAACCUUUUAUUUAUCUCCUUCAGAAUAAAACACUUCUCUAAGGAAAAGAUGAAAAGAUUACUUUUUAUUGAUAUGACCAUGGUGUAAUAAUAAUUGAGACUCUUUGUAAGGUAUGGCAUUUUUCUGCUUCCAAGGUAUCAUGUAAGCACAUUAUCACUGCCUGUAAAUGACAGACUCUCCAGACUAACCUCAUUCAGUCAAGAACCAAGGGAAUAAGCAUUGCAGGAAGACUUCCAAACCCAAAGAUUUGUGAAUUACAAAGGAAGUGAAAGCUUUUCAGGCCUUUGAUAAAAUUCCUUAGAAAUAGCAUCAGUUCAAGACCUAUCAAGUUGAUGUGGUUAAGGUUUUUUCAGGUUUCUCUCAGGAGCACUCAACCCAAGCAUUCUGUCAG